GUGAAUUUCCUGACGGUUGAGAAAAGAGGUUAUAUGUGUAUUCGUUUCAUUCCAAUAUUGGAAUCAGCAGCCAAUCAGCGCUUACUACGAAAAUCCGUAGUAAGAGGGCGAAGAAAGGGGGACCAGACAUUCCUUAGUAGUGGGUCAACAGUCGGUGUAUUGAGGUAGGUCAGGAAGUUCAAUCACCUCACGGUUUAUUCGAAUUAAUCCAUAUAUGGGGUGUAUCUUUGUCAAAAUUGACGUAAAAAAUCCGAAAAAAAUUCUGGGAGUAUGUACA
Molecule: unclassified non-coding RNA, 277 nt
Filed under: Athalia rosae (coleseed sawfly)
Lineage: Eukaryota; Metazoa; Arthropoda; Insecta; Hymenoptera; Athaliidae
Description: misc RNA ENSAEAG00005011414.1
Source: RNAcentral